UCCUCCCUCUUUCUUCGUGCUUAACACAUGCAAGUCGAACGGACAGGCCCUGCUUUUGUGGGGUGCUCGAGUGGCGAACGGGUGAGUAACACGUGAGUAACCUGCCCUUGACUUUGGGAUAACUUCAGGAAACUGGGGCUAAUACCGGAUAGGAGCUCCUGCUGCAUGGUGGGGGUUGGAAAGAUUCGGCGGUUGGGGAUGGACUCGCGGCUUAUCAGCUUGUUGGUGGGGUAGUGGCUUACCAAGGCUUUGACGGGUAGCCGGCCUGAGAGGGUGACCGGCCACAUUGGGCCUGAGAUACGGCCCAGACUCCUACGGGAGGCAGCAGUGGGGAAUAUUGCAGAGUGGGCGGAAGCCUGAUGCAACAACGCCGCGUGCGGGAUGACGGCCUUCGGGUUGUAAACCGCUUUCGCCUGUGACGAAGCGUGAGUGACGGUAAUGGGUAAAGAAGCAACGGCUAACUACGUG
RNAcentral lists this ribosomal RNA (468 nucleotides) under uncultured bacterium. RNAcentral describes it as "partial 16S ribosomal RNA". It matches the Rfam family "Bacterial small subunit ribosomal RNA", at positions 36 to 507 of the family's 1533-position model. The record is from RNAcentral.